GAUGAACGCUGGCGGCGUGCCUAACACAUGCAAGUCGAGCGGCAGCGAGGGGUGCUUGCACCCUGUCGGCGAGCGGCGGACGGCUGAGUAACGCGUGGGAACGUGCCCCAAAGUGAGGAAUAACUGCCCGAAAGGGUAGCUAAUACCGCAUAUUAUCUUCGGAUCAAAGGAUUUAUCCGCUUUGGGAGCGGCUCGCGUCGGAUUAGGUAGUUGGUGAGGUAAUGGCUCACCAAGCCGACGAUCCGUAGCUGGUCUGGGAGGAUGACCAGCCAGACUGGAACUGAGACACGGUCCAGACUCCUACGGGAGGCAGCAGUGAGGAAUCUUCCACAAUGGGCGAAAGCCUGAUGGAGCAACGCCGCGUGCAGGACGAAGGCCUUCGGGUUGUAAACUGCUUUUAUAAGUGAGGAAUAUGACGGUAACUUAUGAAUAAGGAUCGGCUAACUACGUG
RNAcentral lists this ribosomal RNA (451 nucleotides) under uncultured bacterium. Its description in RNAcentral is "partial 16S ribosomal RNA". It matches the Rfam family "Bacterial small subunit ribosomal RNA", at positions 28 to 507 of the family's 1533-position model. The record is from RNAcentral.